Molecule: ribosomal RNA, 650 nt
Filed under: uncultured bacterium
Lineage: Bacteria
Description: bacterial SSU rRNA
Rfam family: Bacterial small subunit ribosomal RNA
Source: RNAcentral
CAGCGGCAGACGGGUGAGUAACGCGUGGGAACGUACCUUUUGGUUCGGAACAACCCAGGGAAACUUGGGCUAAUACCGGAUAAGCCCUUACGGGGAAAGAUUUAUCGCCGAAAGAUCGGCCCGCGUCUGAUUAGCUUGUUGGUGAGGUAACGGCUCACCAAGGCGACGAUCAGUAGCUGGUCUGAGAGGAUGAUCAGCCACAUUGGGACUGAGACACGGCCAAACAUCUUACGGGAGGCAGCAGUGGGGAAUAUUGGACAAUGGGCGCAAGCCUGAUCCAGCCAUGCCGCGUGAGUGAUGAAGGCCCUAGGGUUGUAAAGCUCUUUUGUGCGGGAAGAUAAUGACGGUACCGCAAGAAUAAGCCCCGGCUAACUUCGUGCCAGCAGCCGCGGUAAUACGAAGGGGGCCUUUUUUUGCUCGGAAUCACUCCCCCCCAACGGGUGCGUAGGCGGGUCUUUAAGUCAGAGGUGAAAGCCUGGAGCUCAACUCCAGAACUGCCUUUGAUACUGAGGAUCUUGAGUUCGGGAGAGGUGAGUGGAACUGCGAGUGUAGAGGUGAAAUUCGUAGAUAUUCGCAAGAACACCAGUGGCGAAGGCGGCUCACUGGCCCGAUACUGACGCUGAGGCACGAAAGCGUGGGGAGCAAACAGG